Molecule: ribosomal RNA, 480 nt
Filed under: uncultured bacterium
Lineage: Bacteria
Description: partial 16S ribosomal RNA
Rfam family: Bacterial small subunit ribosomal RNA
Source: RNAcentral
GACGAACGUUGGCGGCGUGCUUAACACAUGCAAGUCGAGCGAUGAAGUUCCUUCGGGAAUGUAUUAGCGGCGGACGGGUGAGUAGCACGUGGGUAACAUGCCUCAUAGAGGGGAAUAGCUUUCCGAAAGGAAGAUUAAUACCGCAUAAGAUUGUAGUACCGCAUGGUACAGCAAUUAAAGGAGCAAUCCGUUAUGAGAUGGACUCGUGUCGCAUUAGCUAGUUGGGGGGGUAACGGCCUACCAAGGUGGCGAUCGGUAGAUGGUCUGAGAGGACGAUCAGCCACACGGGGACUGAGACACGGCCUCAACUCCAUCGGGAGGCAGCAGCGAGGAAUUUUGCGCGAUGGGCGAAAGCCUGACGCAGCAACGCCGCGUGGGCGAUGAAGGCCUUCGGGUUGUAAAGCCCUUUUGCGGGGGAAGAAGUUCUGACGGUACCCCGCGAAAAAGCCACGGCUAACUACGUGCCAGCCGCCGCGGUAA